RNAcentral lists this ribosomal RNA (464 nucleotides) under Vreelandella stevensii. RNAcentral describes it as "partial 16S ribosomal RNA". It matches the Rfam family "Bacterial small subunit ribosomal RNA", at positions 338 to 795 of the family's 1533-position model. Lineage: Bacteria; Pseudomonadati; Pseudomonadota; Gammaproteobacteria; Oceanospirillales; Halomonadaceae. The record is from RNAcentral.
CCUACGGGGGGCUGCAGUGGGGAAUAUUGGACAAUGGGGGGAACCCUGAUCCAGCCAUGCCGCGUGUGUGAAGAAGGCCCUCGGGUUGUAAAGCACUUUCAGUGAGGAAGAACGCCUGUGGUUAAUACCCAUCAGGAAAGACAUCACUCACAGAAGAAGCACCGGCUAACUCCGUGCCAGCAGCCGCGGUAAUACGGAGGGUGCGAGCGUUAAUCGGAAUUACUGGGCGUAAAGCGCGCGUAGGUGGCUUGAUAAGCCGGUUGUGAAAGCCCCGGGCUCAACCUGGGAACGGCAUCCGGAACUGUCAAGCUAGAGUGCAGGAGAGGAAGGUAGAAUUCCCGGUGUAGCGGUGAAAUGCGUAGAGAUCGGGAGGAAUACCAGUGGCGAAGGCGGCCUUCUGGACUGACACUGACACUGAGGUGCGAAAGCGUGGGUAGCAAACAGGAUUAGAUACCCUUGUAGUC